GCCUAGUCUAUGAUGCCACAAGUACUUCUGUUUAACUUCAUCUCUGGAUCUCUUUUGAUUUACGACACUCACUAUUUGCUCAUUUAAAUUCAGAUUCGCAUCAACAUAUAAGUGAUAUAGAUCGUCAAUUAAAAGAUCUCGUGCAAUCAAUUUAUUUCAUAAAUAAAUGAAACAAAAGUCUUUAUUAAAAUUAAAUUUAAAACCUUCUUGUGCUAGCAUA
Molecule: long non-coding RNA, 220 nt
Filed under: Elaeis guineensis (African oil palm)
Lineage: Eukaryota; Viridiplantae; Streptophyta; Magnoliopsida; Arecales; Arecaceae
Description: long non-coding RNA (EGUI_LNC055721)
Source: RNAcentral